This 203-nucleotide microRNA precursor is filed under the name Oryza barthii. RNAcentral's name for it is "MIR812 microRNA precursor family". It matches the Rfam family "MIR812 microRNA precursor family". Lineage: Eukaryota; Viridiplantae; Streptophyta; Magnoliopsida; Poales; Poaceae. The record is from Rfam by way of RNAcentral.
AAAAAGGCAAACCGUGGGUUCCCGUGCCAACGUUUGACUGUCCAUUUUAUAUGAAUUUUUUUUAUAAUUAAUAUUUUUAUUGUUGUUAGAUGAUAAAACAUGAUUAAUACUUUAUGCGUGACUUAUCUUUUUAAUUUUUUAUAAUUUUUUUAAAUAAGAUAGACGGUCAAACGUUGAACACGGAAAUCAGGGUUUGUCUUUUU